GUUAGGAAUAUUGGACAAUGGGCGCAAGCCUGAUCCAGCCAUGCCGCGUGAACGAUGAAGGCCUUCGGGUUGUAAAGUUCUUUAGCCGAUGAUUAUAAUGACUGUAGUCGGAAAAUAAGCCCCGGCUAACUUCGUGCCAGCAGCCGCGGUAAUACGAAGGGGGCGAGCGUUAUUCGGAAUCACUGGGCGUAAAGCGUGCGUAGGCGGUUUUGUAAGUUAGGAGUGAAAGCCCAGGGCUCAACCUUGGAAUUGCUCUUAAAACUGCAAGGCUCGAAUCUCGGAGAGGAUAGCGGAAUUUCCAGUGUAGCAGUGAAAUGCGUAGAUAUUGGAAGGAACACCAGUGGCGUAAGCGGCUAUCUGGACGAGUAUUGACGCUGAGGCACGAAAGCGUGGGGAUCAAACAGGAUUAGAUACCCUAGUAGUCC
RNAcentral lists this ribosomal RNA (425 nucleotides) under uncultured bacterium. RNAcentral describes it as "partial 16S ribosomal RNA". It matches the Rfam family "Bacterial small subunit ribosomal RNA", at positions 354 to 796 of the family's 1533-position model. The record is from RNAcentral.